Penaeus monodon (black tiger shrimp) is the source of this 278-nucleotide long non-coding RNA. RefSeq lists it as uncharacterized. The record is from RefSeq and is a predicted model, not a curated record. NCBI's taxonomy places the organism in Eukaryota, Metazoa, Arthropoda, Malacostraca, Decapoda, Penaeidae. The transcript is spliced from 3 exons.
CAUCACUGAAUUCAAGGCAAAAUAUGAAUCUUUGGAAAAGCAGAUUGAACCGCUACAAGAGAAACAAAGGCUUUCUGACAAUAAGAUUGAGUCUUUGAUGCUGGAGAAGAGGAGCAUUGAAAAUGAAAAAGAUCUUUACAAGAAGAGAACACAAGAGUUGGUGGAGAAACUUAACCGUGCCAAACCAGAGGACUUCAUUAGGCUACAGCAGGAAGUAGUUGAACAGCAGAAGACCUUACAGAGCAAGGAGGCAGAAGUGUCAAGAAUAAAGAACCAGG